UCGACAGGUUCUUUUUCUAUUAAAAGUGCUUAUGGAAAAAUUCGGGAAAGAUUGUGAAACCUAAAAGAGAUAGUGUGGCAGAUCCUCUAGAAUUCCAAGAACCCCAACGAAUUAGGUUCUUUAUUUGGCUGGCUCUUAAGCAUCGUUUGCUUACCAAUGUGGAAAGAGUACGUCGGGGAAUUGGGCAUGAUACGACUUGUGGUGUUUGUGGGCAUGGGCCAGUCAGAAAUGAAACAGGUUUUGCUACAGCAGGAGGAAUUGUUUGUGAUCAAAAUGGGAGGUAGAUUCUUGGCUUUAACAGCUAAAAAAGAAAUUAUGUCAGUCUCCUCUUACCUGCCCGCCUGGAAUUUUUGGGAGGCUACCUAGGUGUUCUUAAGUAUGCUUGACAGUUGAAACCAACUGAUAUUUGCCUUUGACCCUACUGAAGCUGUAGAGGAUCGUUUCCUGCUGGUAUCAACUAAAGCAUGGAAUGGUCACAAUGUUCACUCACACACUUUCUACACUCUUCCGAGAUUUUGAAGCUGUUUAUCCAUAUAGAACAAAGAAUUAUAUCCUAAAAUUUGAUAUCAAUUACUUUCACUUGAAAUUGAUAGGGGCUGCGCGAACGCAAGCCCCCACUGCCACAAAUUAUGACGUAGGCUCUCCCUCUUGGGGAGACCUUAAAGCAGCACCCCUCCCAAGUGCAAUGGAGGUCACUGCUCUAGGCCAUGAGUCUUCCUGAUCACUCAUUGACCCCGUCCAGGUAAGUAUGUUUUAAUGUUGCUCUAUCCUCUCUCCUUAUACACCACCCUUUAUGUUUUGUUUACCAUACGCUAGCAAUGUGGGAUUCAGGUUGCAUUGUGGGCAUAAAGAUUUAGAACAUUUUUACCUUUCAAUACUUCUAAACACUAAUUAUUAACAUUUCCCAAUCUUGAUUUCUGUCAAUAAUAAUAGUUUUUUUAUCAACAUUGUUCUUAA
Molecule: long non-coding RNA, 957 nt
Organism: Gossypium raimondii (Peruvian cotton)
Lineage: Eukaryota; Viridiplantae; Streptophyta; Magnoliopsida; Malvales; Malvaceae
Exons: 2
Source: RefSeq, a predicted model, not a curated record